This 73-nucleotide transfer RNA is filed under the name Rhipicephalus sanguineus (brown dog tick). Its description in RNAcentral is "transfer RNA alanine (anticodon CGC)". It matches the Rfam family "tRNA". Rfam says of the family: Transfer RNA (tRNA) molecules are approximately 80 nucleotides in length. Their secondary structure includes four short double-helical elements and three loops (D, anti-codon, and T loops). Further hydrogen bonds mediate the characteristic L-shaped molecular structure. tRNAs have two regions of fundamental functional importance: the anti-codon, which is responsible for specific mRNA codon recognition, and the 3' end, to which the tRNAs corresponding amino acid is attached (by aminoacyl-tRNA synthetases). tRNAs cope with the degeneracy of the genetic code in two manners: having more than one tRNA (with a specific anti-codon) for a particular amino acid; and 'wobble' base-pairing, i.e. permitting non-standard base-pairing at the 3rd anti-codon position. Lineage: Eukaryota; Metazoa; Arthropoda; Arachnida; Ixodida; Ixodidae. The record is from Rfam by way of RNAcentral.
GCCACGGUAGCUCAGUUGGUAGAGCAUCAGACGCGCUAUUCGAAGGUCGCAGGUUCGGUCCCUGCCCGCGGCA